UACGGGGGGGGUAAGCGUUGUUCGGAAUUACUGGGCGUAAAGGGCUCGUAGGCGGCCAACUAAGUCAGACGUGAAAUCCCUCAGCUUAACUGGGGAACUGCGUCUGAUACUGGAUGGCUUGGAUUCGGGAGAGGGAUGCAGAAUUCCAGGUGUAGCGGUGAAAUGCGUAGAUAUCUGGAGGAAUACCGGUGGCGAAGGCGGCAUCCUGGACCGACAUUGACGCUGAUGAGCGAAAGCUAGGGGAGCAAACGGG
RNAcentral lists this ribosomal RNA (253 nucleotides) under uncultured bacterium. Its description in RNAcentral is "partial 16S ribosomal RNA". It matches the Rfam family "Bacterial small subunit ribosomal RNA", at positions 524 to 776 of the family's 1533-position model. The record is from RNAcentral.